Paramacrobiotus metropolitanus is the source of this 750-nucleotide long non-coding RNA. RefSeq lists it as uncharacterized. NCBI's taxonomy places the organism in Eukaryota, Metazoa, Tardigrada, Eutardigrada, Parachela, Macrobiotidae. The record is from RefSeq and is a predicted model, not a curated record. The transcript has 4 exons.
UGCCGAAGCGGCCAAUGAUGAGAUUGUAAGGCUGCUGACAUGCCCAAAUUACUCGGCUGCAUAAUCUUUGGAGCGGUAUAGGAGCGAUAUUAAUCAGCCGUAAGACUGCCUAUUUGUCAAUGGAAAUUAUUUUUCUUUGGCCGUAACGGAAAUUUUGAGGUGCAAAGGUGUGCUACAUUACACUUCUAUCGCCGUAAUUUAAAGCCGUAGGUGGGCUACUUCGAGCGCAAAAUACUUUUCCGCUUUCGACUAAUUCGUGCGUGAGCGCCUCAGGAAACACUAUUAUUUGGCCACCCGAAAAUGACUCUCCAAGAGAUUUGUGAAGUUAUUAUAGCCUUUUUCCUACCACCAUUAGCAGUGGCCUUGCACAAAGGAAUUGGCAAGGAUUUUUGGAUCAACUUGUUACUGACGUGCCUGAUUUGGAUUCCCGGGAUCAUCCAUGCGCUGUACGUAAUCUGCGCGUCAUAAAUCGACUCCACUUGGCGAUGGGAUACCACGGCGCCGAGCGAGGCUCACACUGCCGAUGGAUGAACAAUUCCUACCUUUUAUCCAAACUAUUUUUAAGGCUAUAUUACUGACUUCCGUAGUCUCUUCAACUAACAAUAAGUGCGGUUCGAUAUGCUUCCCGUACGACUAAUCUUAAAGAUCAGUGCGCGGCAUUUUUAUAACAGUUCAUGGCUUUUCAGAUUCAGAUUCAAUCUAACAAUUUUGAAAAUCGAUUCGAACAAGUAGAUGAAACACCAGAACAAU